GCCCUUUAGUUAUUCUCUCAUUAAUUCCAAAGAGUUUUCUUUCUUUUCUCCAAAACUCAAAUUCCAAACAAAAAUUUUCAAGUCUAAUCAUCACCCAUCAUACAACAACGAGCAAGUUUGAUAUGAGCAUCAAAUGUAUGGCCACCGAAGUACCUGAACAAACAACGACUAGUUAGAGAGCCUUGUUGUCCACCACCUCCAUGACCAGAGCCUUUAUAGAUGUAUGCACUGUUCGGUCAAAGAUGGCACGUGCAUCAAGAUUCCAAUUAAAAGUGAUUGUCGAGCUCGGGCCAUUAAUCAAAAAACAUGAUCAUGCAGUCUGGAGUAUACCUAUAGUCGACAUAAAGUUUGAAAGAUGACACUUCUAAUAUGCAUAAUCUUUAAGUUAGAGUGAUGAUUAGGACUAUGCAUUCUGCAUAUAAUAAAUGUAGGUGCGAUACUAAUUGUCCCUAAAGCGACUCUUGUAGAAAUCAAAAGAGACACAAGAGGUGCAUUAUGCAUUUUGGAUCUCUUGUACACCCUUUGCAAGUUUUAUGACUUGCCUUUUCUUAGUUAGGAUCACAGUUUAUCUUUUAGAAACAUAUAUAUACAUAUUAUUCUACAUAACAUGCAGUGAAUUUGCACACAAAUAUAUACAUGUACAACAAAAAUCAUGAUAAAGAUUUACCUCUCAUAAUGCCAGUUAGGGAACCUCCACCUUUUAUUAGCCAAAACAUCAUGGGAGAGCUUGUAAUCCAUAGUAAUGUGGAGGCAUAAUCGUUGGUCCUUUUUACACCUUGUACAAGUCAUGAACUCGCCCCG
This 801-nucleotide long non-coding RNA is filed under the name Carica papaya (papaya). RNAcentral describes it as "long non-coding RNA (CPAP_LNC015095)". The record is from RNAcentral. Lineage: Eukaryota; Viridiplantae; Streptophyta; Magnoliopsida; Brassicales; Caricaceae.